Long non-coding RNA from Equus caballus (horse), 2200 nucleotides. NCBI's taxonomy places the organism in Eukaryota, Metazoa, Chordata, Mammalia, Perissodactyla, Equidae. The record is from Ensembl.
CUGUCACCUUAAAACGUCUGUCACACUCAGGGCAAAGCCAGCCUUUGACAGCUCCAGACAAUUGGAAAGACAAGAUCUUUCCAAUCCCCCUUAUCUUUCCUCUCUCUCCCCACAUGAUCCUUGGAGGGACCAGAGGAGAGAUUAGCAAGCUAGUGGAGGAGCAAAUACACCAAACCCACAGGAUCCUGGCAGCAGGCCCUAGCGGGAAGAAGGGAGAAGAUGUAAGUAAUGAAUUACAGUGACCACAGGACCUUUUAUUACCUAAUAGUGAUUAGAAUACUCAUGGGUCUGCCCAUAUUCUCAUUCUAGAGCAAGGAACAGAUUGCACGCAAUGAAUAGGUUUAAAGGGAAACAGGAGACAAAGUUGCUUUUAGAAGAAUCCUGCUUGUUCAACGUAUUGGGCACAUUAUUAUUACUUAUCUAGCACUAACCAUGUGCUAAGCACUGUAUAUUCUCCAAAUAACUCACAGAGGGCAAGAUUGACUAGAGGAAUCCUUCCUGAAUUCUGGCAGCCCUGAUUCACCUCGGAGUUAAUUAUCUCUAAUAUGCUGUACAAUUCCCUCUGUACCUUUUAUCACGUGGAGUGGAGGCAUAAUUUAGCCAAAUGUAUCAUUUGAGACUUUUUUUUACCAAAAGAAAAUGAUUGUGUGUGUGCCUUAUAAAAAUAUUCAUUGUUUAUUCACGAGAUGUUUAUCGAGGCCACGCCUCUGUGCCAAGCGUGGCGCUGGGUCCCUUCUAAUUUCUCCCCAGGUUAACUUCUCACAGGGCUAUCAGGGCAGUAGUCUUAUCCCCAUUUGACAGAUGAAAACACGAAGUUCAGAGUGAAGAGAGAGGUUCAAAUCUUUCGUCCCCACCCCUACCUGCUUGGACGCCACGUGUCUACACAGAGUUGUGUCCCUCCAUCACGGCAAUUCCCAAUAGACUCCAAUAAACGGUUUCUUCCCUGUGUCCUCUCCACCCUAGCCUGGUCCCUGCUUCCCUCUGUUGCCUCACGUCCCUGGCGUGUCCCCUCACCCUCUCUGCACCUCUGUAUGUGGUCCCUUAAUGGAGGUCUCUUCAUCAGAACCCCGUGCGGUGGAUGGCUUUCCUCCAGGACGGGGAUGGAGCCACUUGUCCAAGAGCAUGCAGCUGAUAACAGAGUGGUGGCUCUGAGAUUCCACACUCUCCAUCUGUCCACUGUCUCUGUCAUCCUUCCCUCCCACCCCUGUUAUCCUGAGAAGCUUAUUUUUUUGAGGAUAAGACAAAGAGAGCUGCAUUGUAUCUUCGAAUGUCUCUGCGUUUCUGACAGGACGUUAGAAGGCAGGCCUUUGUGGAAUCCAGUGAGAACAUGUGCGUUUCACUUCCAAACCUCUAUUCAAGUUAACCCAACUGAAAUCAAUCACCUGAUUCCUUUUGAAAGAAUCUUGUCCAGCUGAAGAUUCAAAGAUGACCAUGGUGAGCUGUGUUAAGCUUCCCAGGGACGCCAUAACGUAAUACAUACAAUGGGCGCUUAAAAGCCAGAAGUCCAAAGUCACGGUGUCAGCAGGGCCAUGUUCCCUCUGAGGCUCUGGGUAGAAUCCUUCCUGGCCUCUUACUAGCUUCUGGUGGUGGCUGGCAAUCUUUGGUGUCCCUUGGCUCGCAGCUGCAUCACUCCAACCUCUGCCUCCAUCAUCACAUGGCCUCCUCCUCUCUGGGUCCAUGUGUCUUCUCUUCUUCUUAUAGAGCACCAGUCCUGUUGUGCCUAGGGCCCACCCCAUUCCAGUUUGACCUCAUCUUUACUAAUCAUAUCUUCAACAGCCCUAUUUCCCAACAAGGUCACUUUCUAAGGUAUUGGGUGGGGGUCAGGACUUGAACAUGUCUUUUUGGGGGACACAAUUUAACCUGUAACAGAGCUAUCACUGAAGACUGGGGAUCAACUUGGUGGGGGUCUGACUGCCGCUCGGAGACUGGUUUAGCAACAAAGAUUUAAGAAAAGAAAACAAUCCGGAGCUGCAGUAAACAUUUAAGGGCAGCAUUUUCUUUUUUUUUUUAAUGACCAUAGGAAAUGUUUACACACAUCGGCUGUCAUCAACUCAUGUUCCCAUGUGGAGUGACGAGGAUAGUGGGAUGGAGACUUAGAGAAGCGGCAGUUGGACAGAUUGUCGUGUUCACAGAACUAUUGGGACCUGCGGAUGCAUUCAGUGUGUGCACAUGUGUGUUCGUGACUGGGGGAUGAUGUAGG